This 732-nucleotide non-coding RNA is filed under the name Zecheuna tonkinensis. The record is from RNAcentral. Lineage: Eukaryota; Metazoa; Arthropoda; Insecta; Hemiptera; Flatidae.
AAAUAGGAUGUGUUGUUGUCUAAUUAAUUUAUUUAAAUAAUAUUUUGCAUGUAAAUUUUUGUAAGGUUUUUUUUUCUAAAUGAUUAAUUAUAAAUUUUCAGUGUUUAAUUUUUUUUUUUUUAUUAAUUUAAUUUAAGUAAUUUUUAAAAAGACAGAAUAAUUUUGUGCCAGCAUUCGCGGUUAUACAUUAUGUUUAAGUAAAUUUUUUUUUCGGAUUAUUAGUAUUUUUAUUUAAAAUUUUUUUAUUUAGGUGAAAUUUAUAAUAAAUAAUUUUUUUUUUCUAUGAAGUCUUUUUAAUAAACCAGGAUUAGAUACCCUGUUAUUUUAGAAUAAUUUUUUUUUCCGGUUAGUAAAUUUUUGUAUUUAAAUUUAAUAGAUCUGGCGGUUUUUAAAUCUUUUUAGAGGAACCUGAAUUUUAAAUGAUGAUCCACGAUAGUCCUUACCUUAAUUUUCUUGUAUAUCUCUGUCGUUGAAUGUAUUGAUAAAUUAUUUUCUUUUUUUUUAUUAGAUAUAUGUUAGGUCAAGGUGCAGUUAUAUUAAGGUUAAUUUGGGUUACAAAAAUUUUUGUUUUUGGAUUUAAUUAAUAAUUUUUUUUUUGAAGUUGGAUUUAAUAGUAAUUUUUUUUUUUUAAUAUUAUGAAUAUUGCUCUUAAAAAUGUACAUAUCGCCCGUCAUUCCCACAUAGUGGGACAAGUCGUAACAAAGUAGAUGUAUCGGAAGAUGUAUCUAGAAU